Long non-coding RNA from Amblyraja radiata (thorny skate), 393 nucleotides. RefSeq lists it as uncharacterized. The transcript is spliced from 3 exons. The record is from RefSeq and is a predicted model, not a curated record. NCBI's taxonomy places the organism in Eukaryota, Metazoa, Chordata, Chondrichthyes, Rajiformes, Rajidae.
ACUUUUCCAGCGGUCAGCGUUUAACCUCUUUGUAGGCUCUCAGCUGUUUAAUAUUGAUCUUUAGGUGACACACUAUUCCUCAAACGUUGUCUUGGACACUUCUGUUCUCCCCACUAGUGUUACUAAUAUGAUAAGGGAAGUUUUGCAAUUUAGACUGGGGUAGACGCGGUAUUUAACGGACAACGAGCCACGGCAAUGUUAGAAACAUAAGCAAAAAUCAAACUGCUGGAGUUGUUCAGCGGAUCAGACCGUCCAUUCAAAGGCUGGUGGGUGUAUGGAACAAGCUGCCAAGGGAGGUAGUUGAGGCAGGGAUUAUCGCGACAUUGAAGAAACAAUUAGACAGGUAGCUGGAUAGGACAGGUUUGGAGGGAUAUGGGCCAAACGCGGGCAGGU